UGCACAUAACAUGAAUGAAAAAAUAACCUAAAUUUUAUUAAUUUUAAAAUUUGAUCAUAAAAUUAUGCUCCAGAAGUGUAUAUGUGUUAGCCAAUCUGGGUUCUAGGAAACACAUCUAACAGUAGUGGCGGUCACGAUGGCCAUGGAUCAGCUGGCCAAGAGCUAGGGGCCUACAACUUUGUUUUCUUUUCUUUUUUUUGGUGAGGAAACAUCGGAGG
This 218-nucleotide long non-coding RNA is filed under the name Elaeis guineensis (African oil palm). Its description in RNAcentral is "long non-coding RNA (EGUI_LNC013588)". Lineage: Eukaryota; Viridiplantae; Streptophyta; Magnoliopsida; Arecales; Arecaceae. The record is from RNAcentral.